AACUUUCGGCAAUGGAUCACUUGGCUCUCCCAUCGAUGAAGAACGCAGCGAAAUGCGAUAAGUAAUGUGAAUCGCAGAAUUCAGUGAAUCAUCGAAUCUUUGAACGCACCUUGCACCCUUUGGCAUUCCGAAGGGUAUGCUCGUUUGAGUGUCAUUGUACUCUCAUGCUCCCGAUGCUUUUGGAUCGGGAGCGGUGGACUUGGGUGUUGCUGCUUUACUGUGGCUCACCUCAAAUGGAGUAGUGCAACUCUUGGUUGGCAAUAGUACGGCGUGAUAAGUGUCUUCGCCGGCGCCUCAUUAGAGGGUGGCCGAUCGGGAGCUCUGUGCUUCAAACCGUCUUCGGACAACAUCUGACAACUGGACCUCAAAUCGAGUAGGACUACCCGCUGAACUUAAGCAUAUCAAUAAGCGGAGGCU
This 417-nucleotide unclassified non-coding RNA is filed under the name uncultured Sebacina. RNAcentral describes it as "sequence contains ITS2". The stretch from base 1 to 154 matches the Rfam family "5.8S ribosomal RNA". The record is from RNAcentral. Lineage: Eukaryota; Fungi; Basidiomycota; Agaricomycetes; Sebacinales; Sebacinaceae.